RNAcentral lists this non-coding RNA (22 nucleotides) under Arabidopsis thaliana (thale cress). Lineage: Eukaryota; Viridiplantae; Streptophyta; Magnoliopsida; Brassicales; Brassicaceae. The record is from RNAcentral.
CUAGUAGCAUCUCUUCUGGUAC